This is a long non-coding RNA of Rosa rugosa (rugosa rose), 1202 nucleotides long. RefSeq lists it as uncharacterized. Lineage: Eukaryota; Viridiplantae; Streptophyta; Magnoliopsida; Rosales; Rosaceae. The transcript has 4 exons. The record is from RefSeq and is a predicted model, not a curated record.
UCGUCGCAAGGGCAAAAUUGGUAUUUCACGCACACAACUAUAAAUAGAAAAAAAUUGGAAGCCCUAGUCCCAUUUCUCCCUUGCAGCCGCGUCCUUCUCCUUCCCUCUCCCCCGACCUCUCGCUCUCUCUCUCUCGUUCUCCCUCUGCCAUCACCGGAGACUCCAUCUCCGGCCACCAUCUCACCACAUCACUUCCACCAGUCGACGCAACACCUGAACCCGACCAAAACCCACCCGGAAUCACCGACAUGCAUCGCCGGUAGCCUCCACACGCGACCACCAAAAGCUGCGACACCACUGCCCUUUCUCCUUCGUCGAUUUCCGACCAUCACCAUGCCACACUGACACCACCGUCCGACUCAGUGGACAAGGAAGAGCGAAACCCGUGAGCAUCAUCACUCGUCGAUGUCGGGAAACCGCCGUACCAGCAUCGUCGGAGGCCUCGGCCCUGCAUGCCCUCGUUCUCUACUCUCCAGCUCGGAUCGAGCUAAACAACCUCCGUAGCUGGAAUCAAGGCUUCACGAUGCAUCAAAGCCAUAGACCCUCAGCCUCCGAUUUCGGCCAGAGCCCCCGCACGCGUCUCACGCGCCACCGCUGGCACGUGAGCCAACCUAGCGUCACCGUGAGCACCACCAGCUUAUUCUCUUCGUUCGGUAAGCUGGAUUCUAUCCCUUCUUCUUAGUGAGGCUUCUACUUUGAUCUAGAUUGAGAACCCUAACUCGAUUUCUUAAUUUGAAAUCUGUGAGGAUUUUGGAAUAUGUGUUCUGGAGGUUUUGGAGGAAGGGAGGUCUGCAAAAUUGUAAGCCUUCGGAGAAGAGAAGUGCUGGGUCAGUUCCAUUUGUAUUGAGGAAAGGUGCCCAAAGCAAUUGUUGGAGCUGGAUUGCAGCAAUUGGAUUUAGCCCUCAGUUUGGAGAAGAAGAAAUGGACCCGAGCGUGUGCAUUUGGAAGUGGACAAAGUGUUGAAAGUCGAGAACGAACCCGAAUGUGGGCAAGCACUCCAAUUCCAGUGUGCAGGUUUCGAGCAUGUGGUCGGGAAGCGUACAGGGGAGGCACAUGGCACGGCUUGGCGCAUUUCUCUUUAGUUUUAUCAAAAGAAGGUUUUGGUCCUUAAUCGGAUUUUGUAGUAGCUAGUUUAUUUACUUUUUAUUUAUUUCCUACUCGUUUACAAAAAAAUUCCGGGAGACCCGUAACCCUGGGGCGCG